UACGUAGGGUGCGAGCGUUGUCCGGAUUUAUUGGGCGUAAAGAGCGUGUAGGCGGCCAGACAGGUCAGCUGUGAAAACUCGAGGCUCAACCUCGAGACGUCGGUUGAAACCGUCUGGCUAGAGUCCGGAAGAGGAGAGUGGAAUUCCCGGUGUAGCGGUGAAAUGCGCAGAUAUCGGGAAGAACACCCGUGGCGAAGGCGGCUCUCUGGGACGGUACUGACGCUGAGACGCGAAAGCGUGGGGAGCGAACAGG
This 253-nucleotide ribosomal RNA is filed under the name uncultured bacterium. Its description in RNAcentral is "partial 16S ribosomal RNA". It matches the Rfam family "Bacterial small subunit ribosomal RNA", at positions 524 to 776 of the family's 1533-position model. The record is from RNAcentral.